AUAUACUCCAUCUAUUAUAAACCCAAAACAUAUAUAUGAGUCUCACCUAUUUUAUAUAUAAAUUCCACCAUAUUUAGUGUCUUGAGUUCAUAAUAGAUUAAGUCUAACAAAGAAUUUCUCAAGUGCAUAAACCUACAGGCUACAGGUUUCAUUGUGCCAAUCAACAUUAAACAAACAUUUAAUAGCGCUCAAAGUGCCCUCCCCUGCCAGGCCUGUCAUAUGGACCUGGCCUAUUCCUAUAGCUCCUAUCAUUUCGUGCAGGCCCUCCUCCACUUCCAUACCUAUCACUGCCUCCUCUUCCAACACCAUCCCUAUCGUAGGCUCUGUCUUUGCCAUAACCA
RNAcentral lists this unclassified non-coding RNA (341 nucleotides) under Hevea brasiliensis (rubber tree). Lineage: Eukaryota; Viridiplantae; Streptophyta; Magnoliopsida; Malpighiales; Euphorbiaceae. The record is from RNAcentral.